RNAcentral lists this long non-coding RNA (243 nucleotides) under Vigna radiata. Its description in RNAcentral is "long non-coding RNA (VRAD_LNC011160)". Lineage: Eukaryota; Viridiplantae; Streptophyta; Magnoliopsida; Fabales; Fabaceae. The record is from RNAcentral.
AAUCUGAUGAAGUCUAACUUAGGAAUGGUAGGAAGUGUGUGUAUAGUGAAUUAAGGGGUGUAGGCGAAAAUGGUUUCUGUUGGGCUUUAGUAAUGGCUUGGUUUAGAACUGAGGGGUGCAUAUAGGGAAAUCUGGGGGUGUAAGGGUAAAAACUGACUGUUUGGCCCAUCUGUCAUUAUUUAUCAAAUAAAAUCUGAUUUUGGGCUUUAAAUUGCAAUUUGGACCAAUAAAACUCUAACUUCA